CCUACGGGAGGCAGCAGUAGGGAAUAUUGGGCAAUGGAGGCAACUCUGACCCAGCCAUGCCGCGUGCAGGAAGAAGGCGUUAUGCGUUGUAAACUGCUUUUAUAUAGGAAGAAAUAGACCUUGCGAGGUAAGUUGACGGUACUAUAUGAAUAAGCACCGGCUAACUCCGUGCCAGCAGCCGCGGUAAUACGGAGGGUGCAAGCGUUGUCCGGAUUUAUUGGGUUUAAAGGGUGCGUAGGCGGUUUAUUAAGUCAGUGGUGAAAGACGGUCGCUCAACGAUUGCAGUGCCAUUGAUACUGGUAGACUUGAGUGGGAUUGAGGUAGCUGGAAUGGAUAGUGUAGCGGUGAAAUGCAUAGAUAUUAUCCAGAACACCAAUUGCGUAGGCAAGUUACUAAGUCUCAACUGACGCUGAGGCACGAAAGUGUGGGUAUCAAACAGGAUUAGAUACCCUGGUAGUCCACACUGUAAACGAUGAUAACUAACUGUUGGCUUUCGGGUCAGUGGUACAGAGAAAUCGUAAGUUAUCCACGNGGAGGUAACGUCGCGACGAGUAACGUUACGAAGAAGUUAGAGGCGNGAGAGNGCGACGGACGACGACGAGGGAGGAGG
This 610-nucleotide ribosomal RNA is filed under the name uncultured bacterium. RNAcentral's name for it is "bacterial SSU rRNA". The stretch from base 1 to 531 matches the Rfam family "Bacterial small subunit ribosomal RNA", at positions 338 to 873 of the family's 1533-position model. The record is from RNAcentral.